This 801-nucleotide long non-coding RNA is filed under the name Mytilus galloprovincialis (Mediterranean mussel). Lineage: Eukaryota; Metazoa; Mollusca; Bivalvia; Mytilida; Mytilidae. The record is from RNAcentral.
GCCGUCGCCAUAUUGGGAUAAUCAUAAUUCCAGUUACGAUUAUUUCUUUAAUACCAGUGAGAAUGUUGUCGAAAAUAGCUAAAAAUGAAUUGCGUUUCAGAGCUAGAAAGAGUCUGGGAAACGCUCAGAAUGCACGAUUUUGAGUCAAUUUUUCAGAGCUUCUGGGGGGCUUCAGCUGCCCGAGACCCCUCGCCGAAAAUUUGUUUUGCCUCACUUCUAAAAGAGGCUAGUCAUGGCCCUGGUAUUAUUAAGCCUUUAGUUUUUGUCAAGCUUGUGACUUUAGUCGCAGAAAGCUCGACGAAGUGAUCUUGCGGCGGUUUUAGCUAGCUUCAAGGUGGAAGACCUGAUGCUUCAUACUUUGCAUAAAUAUAUGAUAUCUUAAUAUCUGUCUGUGAGUUAGUUGAUGAAGACAAAAUAUAACUUGAAAGAUAAAUAUUUAAAUCAGGCUUUCUACACUAGGCACGAGGUUGGCAUGGUGGGGUAUAGGACACAUCGUACAAGUUCUAUUACCUUUCUGUUUGUGAUAUUUUUUAUCAAACUUCUAAUACUUUAUCCUUUUCGUAAUAUGUGCACUUUGGAAUGUCGAUAAGCAUUGUCCCUUGGUGCCUCUUGCAGUUGUGUCACUUUAAAAAGUACUGACUCCUCUGCACCAGGCACGAGGAUGACAUACCAGUUAUGUGCAACUUCUUACAAUAUUUUACCAUAUCAUUAAUGUCCUGAUACACAGUUUAAUAUGCACCCACCAUGCCAUAUAGCACCGUCCCUUGGUGCCUCCUGCAGUUCGGCUAGAUAUAUUCGGCC